This 2008-nucleotide unclassified non-coding RNA is filed under the name Agrilus planipennis (emerald ash borer). RNAcentral describes it as "uncharacterized LOC108738721, transcript variant X3". The record is from RNAcentral. Lineage: Eukaryota; Metazoa; Arthropoda; Insecta; Coleoptera; Buprestidae.
ACGUCUCCUACCUUCCCUCUUUUUCAGAAUUUUGAAUUUAAGAUUGGUCUUCACAACUACUAAGUUAUGAUCGCUACCUAUAUCUGCUCCCGGAUAACUCCUACAGCCCUUCACUUGUUUUUUGCAUAUUUGCCUAACAAGUAUAUAAUCUAACUGGUAUCUCCUUAAAUCACCUGGCAUCUUCCACGUAUAGCGCCUCCUAACGUGAUGUUUUAAUAAUGUGAAUAUAUUUCCUUUGUUUACCACCACCGCCAAAUUCCUUAAAUUAAGCGGGAUGGAAAAAAACCCAAACAGGGUGGUUUGUGUUGGACUGCCCUUGACCUUCGGUUAGAGGUUAUUAUGUUAGUCACGUAUUUUCGAAUCAAUGUAGAUAACUUGGGCCAAGUAAUAUCGACACGAAACUUUAUUUCUAUCUAUUGUUCGCAAAUUGUUUGUGGAUCUAUUGUGCACGCACGUGCGCAUGUAUUGGGUUUUCAAAUUUAGAUGACUCACAGAAAUCCCAACACUCCCCAAACGGUUCGAUACCACGGAACACUUAUCAUUGUGUUUUUUUUUCGUGGUUCGAAACCUUCAAUAGGGAGGAUGGAUAGUUUGUUCGUUACUUCCAUCUCAAAGGUGGGAGAUUGUCCUCUCUCAGAAGUACCAACUGUGCUCGUUCCAACCGCGGCCCUGUUGAUAUUUUCCAUUUAGAUCUCUGAUGAAGUUGACCCAAAUAUUCCCUUGAUCAACUACUCCAGAAAUGUUGCUCUACUUGGAAGAUGCGUUGCCGUCGGGAUAGACGUGUUGUCGGAAUGAAUUUAAAAUUAAUUUUCGGAACAGAAGUCAUGGACUCUCCAAUCAGGAAAUGACCGGGAGUAAGGAAGGAUAGAUCAUUAUGAUCAUUAGAAAUGGGGUUAACGGACGUGAAUUUAAAAUGGCUUCAACUUCAGUCAAUAGUGCAUUUAGCUCUUCGAAAGUGAAUGAGGCAUCGCCAGGGAUUUAAUUGCGAUUUCCCAUAAGCCACCAAAAUGUGGUGACCGACCUGGUAACAUAGUUAGAAUGAAGUCGUCCUUAGUUUCUACUGUUAUGAGGAGUUCCGUUAUGGCCAAGAUGAUUUUCAUUUUCAGUUUCUAAUAAAUCGUCUGCAACAAAAGAAAUUGGUUUUAUUUUUCUUUUUGGUUGUUAUGAUUCUAGUGGGUGUUUCGACCAAUUUUGUUUGUUUCCUAUAGGUAGGGUUGACUUUACUCUUAUUUGGAUCUUCUCGUUUUGCAAACCGCAUUCCGAUGAUGAUUGGGAGGCGAAGAACUUCUGUAGGAGGAUGCGGGAUAAGAGGGGAGAAGUUGUAUGAUAUAGGUGGAGUCGUUACGACGGUUGUGGCGUUAUCCGUUGUCACAACCACCACGACUGUGGCACCGGGUAAGAACAAGCUGGGAUCUGCAAAAAAGUGUGGAGGCGACGUCCCGACGUGGAGCGGUUUGGUUGUUUCUCGUGUAUUCAUUGUCCUUUCGCCAUUCAGACAAACAACCAACACAAUGGUAUCCAUCACCCGGUUGCGAUGCAACAUCUGUCGACGUCUUCGUGAAAGCUGUGACGUUGCAACAGGACUAUGUUAAGAAUGUCUUGAUUACACACCUCUAUUUUUCUGUCACAGCUGCAGAAUGUAUCACGACGAUGUUGUAAUCUGCUUCUGUCGACCUCGUCAGGGGAUUCACUCAUACCUCUGCGUCUACUUUAUCAGAUCGACGAUACACACACACUUUCCUGUCUAUUCUGUACAACUGUAGAGGAAAGGCGUCAGCUCUUUCGAUCCAUUUUGCUGACUCUAGCUUUCCACUAAGUUUUUAUUUCAUUACAUAAGUUAAUUAGUUCUUCUGAGUUUUUCUACUUCUUUUCUUCGUGCUAUUUAGUAAGUUUACGCAUACAUUGUUAUAAUCGUUAUUGUUAUUUUUUGUGGUUGUUUUGUUCCUGUUAUUGUAAAUAGUUUCUCCAUCUUUUCUUGUGAUUAUUAAAAGUCAUAAAACAAAUUCUG